RNAcentral lists this ribosomal RNA (443 nucleotides) under uncultured bacterium. Its description in RNAcentral is "partial 16S ribosomal RNA". It matches the Rfam family "Bacterial small subunit ribosomal RNA", at positions 338 to 795 of the family's 1533-position model. The record is from RNAcentral.
CCUACGUGAGGCAGCAGUGGGGAAUAUUGGGCAAUGGGCGCAAGCCUGACCCAGCAACGCCGCGUGAAGGAAGAAGGCUUUCGGGUUGUAAACUUCUUUUCUCAGGGACGAAGCAAGUGACGGUACCUGAGGAAUAAGCCACGGCUAACUACGUGCCAGCAGCCGCGGUAAUCCGUAGAUGGCAAGCGUUAUCCGGAUUUACUGGGUGUAAAGGGCGUGUAGGCGGGACUGCAAGUCAGAUGUGAAAACCAUGGGCUCAACCUAUGGCCUGCAUUUGAAACUGUAGUUCUUGAGUACUGGAGAGGCAGACGGAAUUCCGAGUGUAGCGGUGAAAGGCGUAGAUAUUAGGAGGAACACCAGUGGCGAAGGCGGUCUGCUGGACAGCAACUGACGCUGAGGAGCGAAAGCGUGGGUAGCAAACAGGAUUAGAUACCCCGGUAGUC